Molecule: long non-coding RNA, 878 nt
Organism: Helicoverpa zea (corn earworm)
Lineage: Eukaryota; Metazoa; Arthropoda; Insecta; Lepidoptera; Noctuidae
Exons: 2
Source: RefSeq, a predicted model, not a curated record
GAGACGCAGAAGGAUGAUACUUACAACUACAGGGAACUGGUUGGUUCGCUUAUGUACAUAGCAGUCUGUACUAGACCGGACAUCAGCCAUGCGGUGGGAUGGAUAUUACAGCUUAUGCGGAUGCAGACUGGGCGUCUAAUAACAUCGACCGUAGAUCAUAUACAGGCUAUGUCUUUCUAUUGGGUAAGUCCAUCAUCUCUUGGGAAAGUAAAAAGCAGCGUACUGUUGCUUUAUCAAGCACUGAAGCAGAAUACAUGGCUUUGUCUGACACAUGUAAAGAAGCUCUGUUCAUUAGAAAGUUUUUAUUUGAGAUGCUUGGUGUCAUGGCUAAAAUAACUGUUCUUAAUGAUAAUCAAUCUGCAAUAAAACUUUGUAAGAAUUUUAUGUUUCAUUCUAGGACAAAAUAUAUUGACAUACGUCACCAUUUUAUAAAAGAAAUUGUUAAUGAUGGUAUUGUAGAAGUUAAGUAUAUGUCAACAAAUAAUAUGUUAGCCGAUGUAUUGACAAAGCCACUUAAUAAAAAUUUGCAUUGUAAAUUCACGAAUUUAUUGUUAACUGUGUAACUUAAUUUUAUUACAUGAAUGGUUUAGUGUUUAUAGUGUAACCUAAAUGUUUGUGUGUUUAUUUAUGUUGACUGUUAAAUUCGUUAGGAAUGUUAUGCAUAUUUUCUUGUUUAUUUUUGUGUUAUGUAAAGGUUAGAGUUGAACAGCUUGCGUUUAAGGGCCAGUGUUGAAGAUGUGUAAACGCAACCUAAUGUUAUCUGUUAUCUGUAUCUAGUUUAUCUGUGGUAGCUGUCACUCGUCCCUUUUUUUUCACUAUGAUCUUUUAUUGUACGCUUGUGUAUAUUUAUAAAAAUAAAAUAUCCGUUUAUAUUUCAA